Molecule: unclassified non-coding RNA, 263 nt
Filed under: Hevea brasiliensis (rubber tree)
Lineage: Eukaryota; Viridiplantae; Streptophyta; Magnoliopsida; Malpighiales; Euphorbiaceae
Source: RNAcentral
CGCGAAGCCUUGCGGAUCGCCUGCUGGAUUCUGUGUGCCGUGAUCGCGGCGGGAUUUGCAAGCUGCCUGCCACGCAGCGGCGCGUGGCCGUUGCCGACCGGACUCGGCGGCGUCGUCGGCGAUGCGCUGGUGCGUUUCCCUGCGGUGGUGUUCGGUCCGCCCGGCCUGAUCUAUCGCAUCGUACUUGGCGUCAUCCUGUUCGCCGCAAUGAUCGGAAGCUUCGUCUUCGCAUGCGGCGCGGGCGCGCAGGAAAAGAUCGUCGA